Molecule: ribosomal RNA, 253 nt
Filed under: uncultured bacterium
Lineage: Bacteria
Description: partial 16S ribosomal RNA
Rfam family: Bacterial small subunit ribosomal RNA
Source: RNAcentral
UACAGAGGGGGCAAGCGUUGUCCGGAUUUACUGGGCGUACAGCGCGCGCAGGCGGGUGGUGACGUGCCGUGUGACAAGCCGCAGCUUAACUGCGGAGGGCCAUGGUAGACGCACCGCCUAGAGGCAGGGAGAGGGAUGUGGAAUACCCGGUGGAGCGGUGAAAUGCGUAGAGAUCGGGUGGAACACCAGCGGCGAAGGCGGCAUCCUGGUCCUGACCUGACGCUGAGGCGCGAGAGCGUGGGGAGCGAACCGG